AGUGCGGGAAAGUACCUGCUGCCCAGAGGGCAGCAGUUGACGAGUUGUUGUACAGUUUUUUUGUAAACGCUGCGCAGGGUUAAAGGAAAUAAGGGCAGUUGGGUGAAUUUAGGAGGGAUGGGGGUUCGGUAAGACAUUAACAUCAAUUGUGCCUUCAUAUUUGAUUACAAGAUUUGAUCAUUCAAUUCACUCAAGUUGUAUUCGUCAGUAUCACACAGUAAAUUACCACGGGUAAAUUUCCUGAUGCAUUCAUGUACCGAUAUGUACAUAUAAUUGCUGUAAGGUUCUAAUUAUGACUUGUGUAAAACAAAAUUACAAGUAGCAGGACGAAUGGUUAUUUAAUAGUUGUGUUAUCUUAACUAUGAUCUGUGCAAUAGAUUGUUAAUGUACGUUCAUGUAGUGUUCCUUUAAGGUUAGUUUUUGAUUAACCACUGCCACAAAAAUAUGUGGAAUGUCACCAGGAAAGUCAUUAUCAAAAUGUCGAAAAUAUCAUCUUAAAGAUAUAGUCCAUCAUUUGUAAUUUGUGCAUUUUGUUCGUUUGAAGCAACAAAAGUGCUCAAAAUCAAAAUCAGGCGGCGUCAGUAGUGCAUUCGCAUGUCCCUCCCAUGGUCUCUGGGCUGUCUUCCUCGCGCCUCCCAAUUUGCAACCGUUGACAAGGGGGCAAAGCUUUGUGUUUUGAUGCACAUGUUGAUUCGCAUGCCCAAGUUUAAUAGGAAUCUGUAUUUACACCAUCUUUCGUGGACGUGCCUCAAUCAAGUUUCACUGUAUACAGUAAGUUAGCGCUCUAGAAGAUGCAUUUUAGUAAGCCUUGCCUUACAAGCAAAAAAAGGAUAAUUGAUGUCUUGAACGAUGUGAUGUACACUGAAAUCUUUGACCAUCGGAGUUUGUUUCAAAGUGAAAUAAGUUGUCUGGAUUAUAUGUAUGAAUGUAAAGAUGAUGCUGCAUAAAACUCAAGUUGUCGUUUCAAUAUCUAGAGAAGUACAAUGUAGUCAUAAAAGGGCAUAAAAGUAAAUCAAAUUGAAUAUAACAAUGUACAGUUGCAGCAGGGUUUUAAAUAUGUGAGAAAAUGAGACAAUUAUGCAUAAGUUCAUUCAGUGCCAACAAAUUUUUUUUUUUUAACUGCCCCGCAUGAUGGUGUUAGACACCGGAUGGGACGAGGAAAAUGAUGCAUCUUGGGAAAAUGAUGCAUCUUGGGAAUGAGUCUGUAUGGUCUCAGCCUGCACAAGAUUGUAUAAUUCAAAUCAAUCUCACUGCAUGACAGGGUAGUUGCAUGGUAAUUAAGGGUGAAUUCCGUCUGGGAUUUCAUGUGAACCUCUGUUUAAAUGCAUUUCUGUACUUCGUCAGAAAUUUUGUCUUUUCUGCAGCACUUUGUAACCGUUAAAUUCAAAAGGCAACGUGAAAUUAUCAGGAGUACAUAUACAAACUGUAGAGGACUCUUAGCAUUUUUAUAACAUGAAAAAUUUAUGGACAAAUAUUCAUGUAUAUUUAUGAAAUAAUCUACCAUGUGUAAUAAAAUGAAUCAAAGAAUAA
Patiria miniata (bat star) is the source of this 1530-nucleotide long non-coding RNA. RefSeq lists it as uncharacterized. NCBI's taxonomy places the organism in Eukaryota, Metazoa, Echinodermata, Asteroidea, Valvatida, Asterinidae. The record is from RefSeq and is a predicted model, not a curated record. The transcript is spliced from 2 exons.